Molecule: long non-coding RNA, 278 nt
Filed under: Rhipicephalus microplus (southern cattle tick)
Lineage: Eukaryota; Metazoa; Arthropoda; Arachnida; Ixodida; Ixodidae
Description: uncharacterized LOC119176116
Source: RNAcentral
CUUAUCAAUUAUGUGCCCACUGACAGAGAGGUGCAUCGGAGCAAAGGAAUUGCCGUUCCCAAGAGGUUGUACAAUCACCCCAUGGGCUUAAAAAGACAGACCCAUUUUGUUCGUGAGGCGGCCGUUACCAUUUUUCAUACAGCAGGCCAAGUCGGUAGAAGUGUUACUGGUGCAGCCUCCAAUCGGUCUUAAGGGGAGGCGAAAUCUCCCUAGGAGAAAGAAACAUAUGCUGUAUUUUCAGAUUUCUUCAACCAUUUUUUCGAAGCACACCGUUCUGA